This 394-nucleotide ribosomal RNA is filed under the name uncultured bacterium. Its description in RNAcentral is "bacterial SSU rRNA". It matches the Rfam family "Bacterial small subunit ribosomal RNA", at positions 29 to 430 of the family's 1533-position model. The record is from RNAcentral.
AUUGAACGCUGGCGGCAUGCCUUACACAUGCAAGUCGAACGGCAGCACGGGGGCAACCCUGGUGGCGAGUGGCGAACGGGUGAGUAAUACAUCGGAACGUGCCCAGUAGUGGGGGAUAGCCCGGCGAAAGCCGGAUUAAUACCACAUGCGACCUACGGGUGAAAGCGGGGGAUCGCAAGACCUCGCGCUGUUGGAGCGGCCGAUGUCAGAUUAGGUUGUUGGUGGGGUAAAGGCCACCAAGCCGACGAUCUGUAGCUGGUCUGAGAGGACGACCAGCCACACUGGGACUGAGACACGGCCCAGACUCCUACGGGAGGCAGCAGUGGGGAAUUUUGGACAAUGGGGCAACCCUGAUCCAGCCAUGCCGCGUGCGGGAAGAAGGCCUGGUGUAACG